This 460-nucleotide ribosomal RNA is filed under the name uncultured bacterium. RNAcentral's name for it is "partial 16S ribosomal RNA". It matches the Rfam family "Bacterial small subunit ribosomal RNA", at positions 338 to 795 of the family's 1533-position model. The record is from RNAcentral.
CCUACGGGAGGCCGCAGUGAGGAAUAUUGGUCAAUGGGCGCGAGCCUGAACCAGCCAAGUAGCGUGAAGGAUGACUGCCCUACGGGUUGUAAACUUCUUUUAUAAAGGAAUAAAGUGAGGCACGUGUGCCUUUUUGUAUGUACUUUAUGAAUAAGGAUCGGCUAACUCCGUGCCAGCAGCCGCGGUAAUACGGAGGAUCCGAGCGUUAUCCGGAUUUAUUGGGUUUAAAGGGAGCGUAGAUGGGUUGUUAAGUCAGUUGUGAAAGUUUGCGGCUCAAACGUAAAAUUGCAAUUGAUACUGGCGGUCUUGAGUACAGUAGAGGUAGGCGGAAUUCGUGGUGUAGCGGUGAAAUGCUUAGAUAUCACGAAGAACUCCGAUUGCGAAGGCAGCUUACUAAACUGCCACUGACAUUGAUGCUCGAAAGUGUGGGUAUCAAACAGGAUUAGAUACCCCUGUAGUC